This is a long non-coding RNA of Chrysoperla carnea, 437 nucleotides long. RefSeq lists it as uncharacterized. The transcript is spliced from 4 exons. Lineage: Eukaryota; Metazoa; Arthropoda; Insecta; Neuroptera; Chrysopidae. The record is from RefSeq and is a predicted model, not a curated record.
ACAACUCUAUGGGCUAUCAAUGAAAUGUCAAAAUACUGACGACAACAAAAAACACAUCGUUUACAAAUAUGUCAGUACUAAAGUUAAAAUCAUUAAAUGAAUUAAAAAAAAAAUAAGAAACUAAAAAAGAUCACAACUUCACAAAAAUCACAAGGCGACAUAACCUUAUUAAAGUAAAUCUCCAAUUACUAUUAGAUACGGAUUAAAACAGAAGAAAAAAUAACAACCGUACCUUAAAAUCUAGGAAAGACCACCAUAGGAAACCGAGCGGUACACAGCCAAACAAACAACACCAGCCGUUGAUGAAAUGUCCAGAUUAAAUUGCCCAAUCAAUCCAUCAAUUGUACGAUGUAAUAUUAAAACGUGCUCGCGUUGCGGGCACGAACGUGUAUAUUAUUGAUUGUAAUAAAUUUUUAUCCUUGAUGUGUACCAUUCAA